GCGACCUAGAACUUAAAAGUAUUCCCGCAUUAUACUGGUGGGCGACCUAGAACUUAAAAGUAUUCCCGCAUUUUACUUGUGGGCGACCUAGAACUUAAAUGUAUUCCCGCAUUUUACUGGUGGGCGACCUAGAACUUAAAGUAUUCCCGCAUUAUACUGGUGGGCGACCUAGAACUUAAAUGUAUUUGAAAUUGUUUCCCCGUUCUUCCGAGAAAAUUUUGACAAUCGGUAGAAAAUUUUCUGCCCCGGUUUUUGGUGACAUCCCUGGCGUUUCCUCUCGCUGCCAUCAUCAAUCC
RNAcentral lists this long non-coding RNA (296 nucleotides) under Nicotiana tabacum (common tobacco). RNAcentral's name for it is "long non-coding RNA (NTAB_LNC016408)". The record is from RNAcentral. Lineage: Eukaryota; Viridiplantae; Streptophyta; Magnoliopsida; Solanales; Solanaceae.